This is a long non-coding RNA of Drosophila yakuba, 3877 nucleotides long. RefSeq lists it as uncharacterized. The record is from RefSeq and is a predicted model, not a curated record. The transcript is spliced from 3 exons. NCBI's taxonomy places the organism in Eukaryota, Metazoa, Arthropoda, Insecta, Diptera, Drosophilidae.
AAACACGCGCUAAAUUUCGGGUUUUAAAAUACACAUUCGGAUUUUUUAACUGUACACUUUAUUCCAACUGCUUGGCAGUGACACGUGCUUUUUGCUUAGUGUCUUUAAGUUUUUAGCUAAUUGUAAAGCUUUCAUUAUAGUUUUUCUGUGUUUUUGUUUAAUAAUUGUUCGCCAAUUUUUGCUUGUUAGAAAUUUCGAUUUAAUUGGUUUUUUUUUUUAUUCUAUUCUGUUAUGUUUUUAGUGUGGCUUUUGUGGCGCUGAAUGUUCAACUAACUUCUGACUGGCACACGCGCUCGUUUCGUUGCAAAGUGUAGAAACACGCCGCCUUAAACGAGAGAGAUAUACAGAGAGAGCGGCUAAGGGCGAACUCACAAAUACACAUACGAAAUAUGCUCAAAUCACAGAUACAAAUACACGGCCGAUUGCUCUCUCUUUUUUACCCGCGUGUUUUGGCUUUUCUUAUUUUUGGCAAACUUUUUCGUUCAGCGCGCGCAACUUAAAAAAUAAAAGCCAAAUUAAAACUGAUACUAAGAUAAAGGUGCAUUCAAAUUGAAAUUAAUAGUUUUAACAAGCUUGAGCUUAAGCUCAAACUUUGUUAUUCCCUUCCUAAGCGUACCGCCCAAAGCUUAGCUAUUGCACUGGCAAAAAAAAAUCAUACAAAUUUAAAUAUGAAAAAAUACUAUGCCAAGCACGUUAAAAGAAAUUUUUAGUUGACUCAAAUGAAUAUGUUUGAAACUAAUUGUUUUUAUUUAUUUAUUAAUUUUCUUUAAAUUAGCACAUAGAAAAUCUUACUAUUUACUAGUUAUCUAUUUAAUCUUUGCUUUUGCAGAAAUAUCAACCUUUUUUAAACAAAAUACUUUAAUAAAAUCGAUCAUGCCUUGAUUAUUUUCUCAGUGUAUUCCUUCUAAUUGCCUUCUAAUCAUUUGGCCGCUCACUUACACGCGCGCAAAACUUUUGGCAUUUUCCACUGUGUCUCAAAGUUCAUUUUUUUCACAUUGCGUCUCUCUCUCUCUGGCGACUCUCUCAAAAAGUAUCUCGCGGAUGGCCGGAGUAUCUGAGAGAUCGCUGGCGAGCCGGCCUGUGUGGCUCUGGGUGAAUUUUUAUUUAUUUUGUUUCAUUUUAAUUUACUCAUGCAAAAGUGUUGAUUUUUUGUUCAGCUCUGCCUGGCUAUUACGUCAAUGGAACAAGAACGCUGACGUUUGUAGUUGUACAUACGAACACGAGUAUCUCUAUCUGUAUCUGUAUCUUCGGCCGCGGCUGUAGAUGUAUCUGUACCUUUGGCACUGCGGCAACUACAGUGUUCAUUUCAAUGUUUUUAGGUUCUGUUCUUCUCUUUCUCUCCCUCUCUGAUUUAUCUGCCAUUCGCGAGUUUAUUUUUCACUAUUUCGGUUGUAUUUUUUUUUGCGAUUUAUUUGUUGUUUUUUUUUUUUGUUUUGUUAAUAAUUCUAACAUGUAUUUUGCGGCGACGUCGACGCCAGCAGCGCUCACUUUAACCGAAUCGCAUUGGCUGAGUUUCGGUUUCAUCGGCUCCGUUCUCAAGUGGCGCAUUUUUCAUCAUCUGUUGACACUUUUGCCGCUCCAACGGUAGGCGACCGCAAAAACAAACACAAAUACAAACAGAAGGGAAAAGGAAAAGAAAAACAAAACCGGGCUCAACACAGUGCGAUAGGCGAGCGAGCGAGAUGGAUGCGGAGUGUGACAGAGAAGGCACUUCAGCUGCAAUUUAAUACAAACUCGCUCGAAAAUCCGCUGAGUACUCAACGAAUCAAGAAUGGGCUGAAAUGAUGCAAAUAUGGGGGCACCACAAUUGAUUGUUGUGGCUGCUAAUUAAGCCUGCGUGUGCCAGUCUCCGUUUCCUUCAACCAUCCCUAUGAAUGUUUAUGUUUUGAUAGGCAAUUUUCAAUUAAUACAUAUGUGUAUUUAUUUAGGGUAAAAGAAAAUUCUGUUCACAGUAUCAAUUAUUACACCCGCAUACACACUUUUUUCGAGGGAAGAUGAAUUUGUUUAAUAAACAAAGAAAAAUGAAUUAUUUCUUAUUUACUCAUUACGAGAAGCAGGCAUACAUACAUUUCUGUAUAUUUACUAUUUUACAUAUGUAUAUACUUUGUUCCUAAUGACAUAAAAACUAAGCUUUCUUUAACCAUCAAACUCACUUCAAUUUCCGAAGAAAUCAUUAAAAUAUCGUAACAAAAUAUUAUUGCCUACCUUUUGGCGCUUAAGUACGCUAUUUUUCGAAACUAAUAGUUUGGAUAAGUACAUUUUAUUUAAGCUAAUAAUAUUGAUUUUCUAUUGGGCAUUUAACCCAGUGUAUUUUGCUUUACAAAUUUUGUUACUAGGCCAAACCAGUUAUUUGAGUAGCUUUUUCAAACGCUUGAGCUUGGCCUUGCGCAUUUCAUGUCCCAAAUAAUCGAAUUAAAUUAGCUCUUAGUCGUUCCCAUAUUCUCUGCCUGCCACAAUUGUUAUAAAGUUUUUGCUGAUCCAAUUUUUGUGCAAUUUUAUAUGUCUCAUGAAAUUGUAUGGCCAAUAUAAUUUCAGAAGUAUUCUGUUUAUUUUGUUGCACUCACACACACGCACGAGCACCGCACACACGCACAGUUGUCAUAAAUAAAAAGCUCUCUGGUUUAUUGGACAUUUUCAUUAAAUGCUGCUCUUCAGCUGCUGCUGCUUCUUCUUCAUUUUAGUUUUGCGGUGUCUGCGGUUGUUUUUAUUGCUUUUAUUGCUUGUAUUGUCGUUGUUGCAAAUUGAUUGCCUGCAAUUUGUAUGCGAAAGAGCGCAAAAUGUACCGUUGCUGUAGGUCUUUAUGGCGCCUUUUAAUUGAGCCACACACACAUGUAUGUAUUGUAUGUAUUGUUGUGUGUUAUUAUGUGUGUGUAAGCCCAGCUCUCUCUUUCCGACUCUCACGUUCUCUUUAUCUUGCGCGAAAUACUCUAUGUAAAUUGGCGCUUUUAUUGGCGUGGCAAUGAACGAUCGUGAUUUCUUUUUGUUGUUGUCGGCUUUCAACACGUGUAGAUUGAUAUCGUUCUCUCUACGCUGUAGUUUACACUGUUACAAAAUGGCUUGUAAUUCAGUUAAGUAUAUUUUGUGAUAUGUGCUAUUUAAUUUGUUCCGAGCUUUGAUAAACUAGGCAACCCGUUUAGUAAAUUACUUCCUGUAGCAAAUAUAUCUUACUUUAGAUAAAAUCUGAAUAGAAAUAAGCUGCAGUACUAAUUUCUUCCAGUGCCUUACUAAUUACACAUCCAGACACACAUACUGUGAUACAACAGACUGACACACACACACACAGCUGCAGAUUACACCGCAAACCGCAAUACAUGUGUAUGACAUAAUAUUAAUUUUUGCAGUCGCCGUCGACGCGGCGACUCCCCCAUUUCAGUUCCAGUCUGCGUCCACAGAGCCCCCCAUCCAAUGACCCUCCGCCCACAUCCCCACCUCCCCCCUGCUGCAGCGCACAGUUCGCAUUCGCAAUUUGAAUGGGUUCCAGCGGGUGCAAGCGAGAUGGCCUGCUUAUUACCGCACUUGAUGGCGCUGCAGUUUUGUUUAGAUUUCGCCGGUUUUCGUUAUUGCAAAUUGACGUAAUGGCCAGUGGAAACGAGCUGGCAGAAGAAUAAGAAGAAGCCAGGAAAACCAAGUUGGAUUAAGCAGGAAAAUAGUAGAGGAAACGAAAAGGAGAGGCCGCAACUUUUGCUGACUUUUCGAAUAUUUAAUAUGCACUCUUGAGCUUGAAGAUAAAUAAUGUCCACGAAUCAGCGGUGGCUAAGGAUUAUCAGUUAACAAAAGCGGUAUUUGCUGACCAGUUUAAAUCGGGAUUUCAUAAAAUAGUACAAGGAGCAUUUCUUAAUAUCUUAGAUUGAGUAAAGUUAAAGAAAAUCUAGAAUAA